GUGGUCAAGCUAAUAAGGGCUAAUGGUGGAUACCUAGGCACACAGAGGCGAAGAAGGACGUGGUUACCGACGAAAUGUUCCGGGGAGUUGGAAGCAAACGAAGAGCCGGAAAUAUCCGAAUGGGGCAACCCUAAAUACUACCUGUUGAAUAUAUAGACAGGAAAGAGCCAACCCAGCGAACUGAAACAUCUUAGUAGCUGGAGGAAGAGAAAUCAAAACAGAGAUUCCCUAAGUAGUGGUGAGCGAAAGGGGAAGAGCCUAAACCAAAGGAUUUAUCUUUUGGGGUAGUGGGACAGCAAGAUCGAAUCACUUAGGUUAGACGAAACAGCUAAAUACUGUACCAGAGGAAGUGAAAGUCUUGUAGUCAAAAACCAAAGGAUAGUAGCUGCAUCCCGAGUAGUACGGAGCACGAGAAAUUCCGUAUGAAUCAGCGAGGACCACCUCGUAAGGCUAAAUACUACUGUGUGACCGAUAGAGAACAAGUACCGCGAGGGAAAGGUGAAAAGAACCCCGGAAGGGGAGUGAAAUAGAACAUGAAACCAUAAGCUUACAAGCAGUGGGAGUCCGAUUAAACGGAUGACCGCGUGCCUGUUGAAGAAUGAGCCGGCGACUUAUAGGCACUGGUAGGUUAAAGCGAGAAUGCUGGAGCCAAAGGGAAACCGAGUCUGAAGAGGGCGAAAAUCAGUGUUUAUAGACCCGAACCCUGGUGAUCUAACCAUGUCCAGGAUGAAGCUUGGGUAACACCAAGUGGAGGUCCGAACCGACUGAUGUUGAAAAAUCAGCGGAUGAGGUGUGGUUAGGGGUGAAAUACCAAUCGAACCAGGAGCUAGCUGGUUCUCCCCGAAAUGUGUUGAGGCGCAGCGGUUGUGAUUAAAUCUGGGGGGUAAAGCACUGUUUCGGUGCGGGCUGGGAGACCGGUACCAAAUCGAGACAAACUCAGAAUACCCAGAGAACACACAGCCAGUGAGACAGUGGGGGAUAAGCUUCAUUGUCAAGAGGGAAACAGCCCAGACCACCAGCUAAGGUCCCCAAAUCAUCACUAAGUGAUAAAGGAGGUGAGAAUGCCUAGACAACUAGGAGGUUUGCCUAGAAGCAGCCACCCUUGAAAGAGUGCGUAAUAGCUCACUAGUCAAGCGUUCUUGCGCCGAAAAUGAACGGGGCUAAGUGAUGUACCGAAGCUGUGGGAUUACUAAUCAUAAUCGGUAGGGGAGCGUUCCGUAGUAGGGAGAAGCAGUAGCGGCAAGCAGCUGUGGACGAAACGGAAGUGAGAAUGUCGGCUUGAGUAGCGCAAAUGUAUGUGAGAAUCAUACACCCCGAAACCCUAAGGGUUCCAGAGCCAGGUUCGUCCACUCUGGGUUAGUCGGGACCUAAGGCGAGGCCGAAAGGCGUAGUCGAUGGACAAAGUGUCAAUAGUCACUUACUGUUCUGUGGGAGCAUAGACAGGGACGCAUGAAAGAUAGCCAUACCCUGAUUGGUUUGGGAGGGGUUUACGAACUCCGAGUGGUGAAGGAAAGUGCCAAGAAAAGCUGUAUAUGUGAUGAAGAUAGAACACCCGUACCCGAAACCGACACAGGUAGGGAGGUUGAGAAUACCAAGGGGCGCGAGAUAACUCUCUCUAAGGAACUCGGCAAAAUGGCCCCGUAACUUCGGAAGAAGGGGUGCCCACCUCAGCAGUGGGUCGCAGUGAAGAGAUCCAAGCGACUGUUUACCAAAAACACAGGUCUCCGCUAACUCGCAAGAGGACGUAUGGGGGCUGACGCCUGCCCAGUGCCGGAAGGUUAAGGAAGCUGGUCAGCGAAAGUGAAGCUGGCGACCGAAGCCCCGGUGAACGGCGGCCGUAACUAUAACGGUCCUAAGGUAGCGAAAUUCCUUGUCGGGUAAGUUCCGACCCGCACGAAAGGCGUAACGAUUUGGAUGGUGUCUCAGAGAGAGACUCGGCGAAAUAGGAAUGUCUGUGAAGAUACGGACUGCCUGCACCUGGACAGAAAGACCCUAUGAAGCUUUACUGUAGCCUGGAAUUGUGUUCGGGCUUCGCUUGCGCAGGAUAGGUGGGAAGCGA
This 2059-nucleotide ribosomal RNA is filed under the name Dolichospermum sp. FACHB-1250. Its description in RNAcentral is "Anabaena sp. FACHB-1250 partial 23S ribosomal RNA". It matches the Rfam family "Bacterial large subunit ribosomal RNA", at positions 1 to 2157 of the family's 2925-position model. Lineage: Bacteria; Bacillati; Cyanobacteriota; Cyanophyceae; Nostocales; Aphanizomenonaceae. The record is from RNAcentral.